GGGCUCGUAGUCUAGCGGCUAUGACACUGCCUCGACAUGGCAGAGGUCGCCGGUUCGAAUAUGCUUGAGAACA
Molecule: transfer RNA, 73 nt
Filed under: Candidatus Woesearchaeota archaeon CG10_big_fil_rev_8_21_14_0_10_44_13
Lineage: Archaea; Nanobdellati; Candidatus Woesearchaeota
Description: tRNA-Val
Source: RNAcentral